AGCGAACAUUGGCGGUAGGCUUAACACAUGCAAGUCGAGCGAGGCGUAAUAGUCGAGCGGCGAACGGGUGAGUAAUACAUGGGAGUCUACCCUGAAGUGGGGGAUAACGUUCAGAAAUGAACGCUAAUACCGCAUAAUCCACAUUGGGAAAGCGCGCUGCGCUUUAGGAUGAGCCCAUGGCUGAUUAGCUAGUUGGUGAGGUAACGGCUCACCAAGGCGACGAUCAGUAGCUGGUCUGAGAGGAUGAUCAGCCACACUGGAACUGAGACACGGUCCAGACUCCUACGGGAGGCAGCAGUGGGGAAUCUUGCGCAAUGGGGACAACCCUGACGCAGCCAUACCGCGUGUGUGAUGAAGGUCUUCGGAUUGUAAAGCACUUUCAGUAGGGACGACGAUGACGGUACCUACAGAAGAAGUCACGGCUAACUUCGUGCCAGCCGCCGCCGUAA
This 449-nucleotide ribosomal RNA is filed under the name uncultured bacterium. RNAcentral's name for it is "partial 16S ribosomal RNA". It matches the Rfam family "Bacterial small subunit ribosomal RNA", at positions 29 to 523 of the family's 1533-position model. The record is from RNAcentral.